UAAUUUCAGAGCAGCCUUUCAAGAGCUCUGUAGCUUAGGUAAGCUGGUCAGGAUCCUAGAGUUCCUCAAAUGCUCUCGAUGCAGGAAGAGGACAAGCUUCCCCAGCAGAGCAACACGUCCCUCUGCGCUGGAGGAGACACAACAGGUCCUGCAGGCACGUCAGCUCACAGCGAAGGCCAGCAAACAUUCCUGCGGGAUCAGGAGACAAUCGUCCUUGUGAAAGCAGAUCAUUUAUUUCUACUCAUUCUUCUGCCUCUCAAUGGGUUACUGAGCCGUGAAAGGAUCUUGCACCACCUCCAUACCUCAUCUACCCACAGAGAAUUAGGCUGGAAGACCAAGACUGCAUAGCCUGCUGCUUCAGGAACCUCACAAGGAAGGCAGAUGGGGCUGGUGGAGCAGACAGAGGGACCCCAAGGAACAGCACGGACAGCCCAGCACUUCCAGCAGGAUUGUCCCGACUGAGCUGCAGCUCCUCCGGGCUCCCUCCAGAAGAAAGCCUCCCACUGCUGUCAUUUGUGGAACGCUGUGUCCAGCCCUGCCCUGCGUGCCUCCUGUGCUGCACUUUGCACUCUGUGCCUGCGGGCAGCAGGUCAGCCAUCCUAAAACCCCACUUCACUCCCAGAGCGGGUCUUCUGUUUUGCAAUGAAGCGGGCAGAGUCCUGCGAAGGGAGCAGCACGUGGGCUAUCAUCAGAGCCCCAGUGAAGGCCACGAAAGCAUUUCUGAUUUUCAAGUGCUUCUUUCUGCAGACAAUAAAGUUUCCUUGGUGUGCUGUUUGAGUAC
Tympanuchus pallidicinctus (lesser prairie-chicken) is the source of this 781-nucleotide long non-coding RNA. RefSeq lists it as uncharacterized. Lineage: Eukaryota; Metazoa; Chordata; Aves; Galliformes; Phasianidae. The record is from RefSeq and is a predicted model, not a curated record. The transcript is spliced from 3 exons.